UCUCUUGGCGGCGAGUGGCGGACGGGUGAGUAAUAUAUCGGAACGUGCCCAGUAGCGGGGGAUAACUACUCGAAAGAGUGGCUAAUACCGCAUACGCCCUACGGGGGAAAGGGGGGGAUCGCAAGACCUCUCACUAUUGGAGCGGCCGAUAUCGGAUUAGCUAGUUGGUGGGGUAAAGGCUCACCAAGGCAACGAUCCGUAGCUGGUUUGAGAGGACGACCAGCCACACUGGGACUGAGACACGGCCCAGACUCCUACGGGAGGCAGCAGUGGGGAAUUUUGGACAAUGGGGGAAACCCUGAUCCAGCCAUCCCGCGUGUAUGAUGAAGGCCUUCGGGUUGUAAAGUACUUUUGGCAGAGAAGAAAAGGUAUCCCCUAAUACGGGAUACUGCUGACGGUAUCUGCAGAAUAAGCACCGGCUAACUACGUGCCAGCAGCCGCGGUAAUACGUAGGGUGCAAGCGUUAAUCGGAAUUACUGGGCGUAAAGCGUGUGUAGGCGGUUCGGAAAGAAAGAUGUGAAAUCCCAGGGCUCAACCUUGGAACUGCAUUUUUAACUGCCGAGCUAGAGUAUGUCAGAGGGGGGUAGAAUUCCACGUGUAGCAGUGAAAUGCGUAGAUAUGUGGAGGAAUACCGAUGGCGAAGGCAG
This 647-nucleotide ribosomal RNA is filed under the name Alcaligenes sp. RNAcentral's name for it is "bacterial SSU rRNA". It matches the Rfam family "Bacterial small subunit ribosomal RNA", at positions 81 to 724 of the family's 1533-position model. The record is from RNAcentral. Lineage: Bacteria; Pseudomonadati; Pseudomonadota; Betaproteobacteria; Burkholderiales; Alcaligenaceae.